Molecule: ribosomal RNA, 375 nt
Filed under: uncultured organism
Description: partial 16S ribosomal RNA
Rfam family: Bacterial small subunit ribosomal RNA
Source: RNAcentral
AGAGGUGGCAAGCGUUGUUCGGGAAUUAUUGGGCGUAAAGAGCACGUAGGUGGGUUUGUAAGUCAGAUGUGAAAGCCUUCUGUUCAACGGGAAGAGUUGCAUCUGAAACUGCGAGUCUUGAGUGUAGGAGGGGAGAAUGGAACUUCUGGUGGAGCGGUGAAAUGCGUAGAUAUCAGAAGGAACGCCGGCGGCGAAAGCGAUUCUCUGGCCUAUUACUGACACUCAGUGUGCGAAAGCUAGGGGAGCAAACGGGAUUAGAUACCCCGGUAGUCCUAGCCGUAAACGAUGGGCACUAAGUAGAGGGAAUUACCGAUGUUCUCUCUGCCGUAGCUAACGCAUUAAGUGCCCCGCCUGGGGAGUACGGCCGCAAGGCUA